Molecule: ribosomal RNA, 936 nt
Filed under: Bacillus subtilis
Lineage: Bacteria; Bacillati; Bacillota; Bacilli; Caryophanales; Bacillaceae
Description: bacterial SSU rRNA
Rfam family: Bacterial small subunit ribosomal RNA
Source: RNAcentral
CAAACGGGGGCGGGCGGUGCCUAUACAUGCAAGUCGAGCGGACAGAUGGGAGCUUGCUCCCUGAUGUUAGCGGCGGACGGGUGAGUAACACGUGGGUAACCUGCCUGUAAGACUGGGAUAACUCCGGGAAACCGGGGCUAAUACCGGAUGGUUGUUUGAACCGCAUGGUUCAAACAUAAAAGGUGGCUUCGGCUACCACUUACAGAUGGACCCGCGGCGCAUUAGCUAGUUGGUGAGGUAACGGCUCACCAAGGCAACGAUGCGUAGCCGACCUGAGAGGGUGAUCGGCCACACUGGGACUGAGACACGGCCCAGACUCCUACGGGAGGCAGCAGUAGGGAAUCUUCCGCAAUGGACGAAAGUCUGACGGAGCAACGCCGCGUGAGUGAUGAAGGUUUUCGGAUCGUAAAGCUCUGUUGUUAGGGAAGAACAAGUACCGUUCGAAUAGGGCGGUACCUUGACGGUACCUAACCAGAAAGCCACGGCUAACUACGUGCCAGCAGCCGCGGUAAUACGUAGGUGGCAAGCGUUGUCCGGAAUUAUUGGGCGUAAAGGGCUCGCAGGCGGUUUCUUAAGUCUGAUGUGAAAGCCCCCGGCUCAACCGGGGAGGGUCAUUGGAAACUGGGGAACUUGAGUGCAGAAGAGGAGAGUGGAAUUCCACGUGUAGCGGUGAAAUGCGUAGAGAUGUGGAGGAACACCAGUGGCGAAGGCGACUCUCUGGUCUGUAACUGACGCUGAGGAGCGAAAGCGGUGGGGAGCGAACAGGGAUUAGAUACCCUGGUAGUCCACGCCGUAAACGAUGAGUGCUAAGUGUUAGGGGGUUUCCGCCCCUUAGUGCUGCAGCUAACGCAUUAAGCACUCCGCCUGGGGAGUACGGUCGCAAGACUGAAACUCAAAGGAAUUGACGGGGGCCCGCACAACGGUGGACAUGUGGUU